Molecule: unclassified non-coding RNA, 325 nt
Filed under: fungal sp.
Lineage: Eukaryota; Fungi
Description: partial internal transcribed spacer region
Source: RNAcentral
AAGUCGUUCUAGGUGAACCUGCGGAAGGAUCAUUAACACGUAUCCAAACGUUAAACCCCCUGUGAACCUUGAACAUGCUCUUGCUCAACAUAGAUGGAACAGCAAUCCUGGUAAGGAGGAAUGUUGAUUGAUUAGGACCUCUGUUCUACUGUUGUUCAAUCGAGCGCUGGACGCAAACGCUUUCCUGCAGGGGAUUGGGACCCCCAAGCGAUUCACGUGUUGCAAGCAGACACCUGCAUGUGACUCCCUUCCACCGCAAGUGCACCGGUCGUGGAGCGCGUAUCUAAAAACCGAGCAACUGUUAACAAUGGAUAGCUCGGUUCUC